Molecule: long non-coding RNA, 98 nt
Organism: Myotis brandtii (Brandt's bat)
Lineage: Eukaryota; Metazoa; Chordata; Mammalia; Chiroptera; Vespertilionidae
Exons: 3
Source: RefSeq, a predicted model, not a curated record
UUUAUUAUUUUAAAAUGAGGACGUUUUUAGCAGAGGCCAGCUUAGGAGUACCCUAAUUAAGUUAAUAACAAUGUACCUACCUAUAUAGUUUAAGUUUA